AUUGAACGCUGGCGGCAGGCCUAACACAUGCAAGUCGAACGGUAGCACAGAGAGCUUGCUCUCGGGUGACGAGUGGCGGACGGGUGAGUAACGUCUGGGAAACUGCCCGAUGGAGGGGGAUAACUACUGGAAACGGUAGCUAAUACCGCAUAACGUCGCAAGACCAAAGUGGGGGACCUUCGGGCCUCACACCAUCGGAUGUGCCCAGAUGGGAUUAGCUAGUAGGUGGGGUAAUGGCUCACCUAGGCGACGAUCCCUAGCUGGUCUGAGAGGAUGACCGGCCACACUGGAACUGAGACACGGUCCAGACUCCUACGGGAGGCAGCAGUGGGGAAUAUUGCACAAUGGGCGCAAGCCUGAUGCAGCCAUGCCGCGUGUAUGAAGAAGGCCUUCGGGUUGUAAAGUACUUUCAGCGGGGAGGAAGGCGGUGAAGUUAAUAACUUCACCGAUUGACGUCACCCGCAGAAGAAGCACCGGCUAACUCUGUGCCAGCCGCCGCCGUAA
RNAcentral lists this ribosomal RNA (504 nucleotides) under uncultured bacterium. RNAcentral's name for it is "partial 16S ribosomal RNA". It matches the Rfam family "Bacterial small subunit ribosomal RNA", at positions 30 to 523 of the family's 1533-position model. The record is from RNAcentral.